Molecule: long non-coding RNA, 1582 nt
Organism: Hippocampus zosterae (dwarf seahorse)
Lineage: Eukaryota; Metazoa; Chordata; Actinopteri; Syngnathiformes; Syngnathidae
Exons: 2
Source: RefSeq, a predicted model, not a curated record
UCCAUUAUCAGAAAUCUGUACUCAACUCGAGUAUUUAGUUUUGGGACCAAUGUUUACUUUUCACUUUUUCAUCUUCUCAUUCUCAUCUGUUUGUCUUCACCAUCUUAUCCUCCAUAUGCUGGCAAACAGUGGCAGGUCGGCACCUCCGCACCCUGAUAAAACCAUUCGUAACACACUGCUGAAAUCAUUGUCCAAAGGGCAUCUGGGGUUCCCAGGCCAUCAGGGGUCUAAGGGUGAGACUGUCCUCUGAUCCAGUCCAGAGAUGUGAGUUGACCUUCUUUCUUCUCUAAUCUUUUAAUUUCUUCCUGUUCUCAGAUUCAGAAGGGCGGUCCAGGGGACAAGGGGCCACCCGGAGGUUCAGGUACCACUGGGACCAAGAGCCAGCGAGUGGACAAAGAUCUUCUUGAAGACGACAUUCUUGGGGCUCAUGAUGCUGCUGAGUGACAAAACAAUCAGGAAGCUCUUAGCAUCACUCUGGGUGUCACCGGGGCAGUGCCACAACAACGCCCACUCACCUGCAGCAAGACGAGUACAAAGAUGAAGACGAGCACGACGGACAAAUGCGAUGGGCACCAGCCUCGUCUAUAUGUCACCGAGGGUUGUCCAGAACGGGCUCGCUCCAUCGGAACGGCCAAUCGGGAGCUUUUGCCAUGCUGGCCACGCCCCCAAUGGUCACGCCCACUGCAACCACCUUGAAUCAACCGCUGAGGGGAUUGAACUGCACUCCGACCACGUCAGCACAACCAAUCAGAUUACCUCGUACGUAUAUCUGUGCCUGUGUGUGUGUGUGCGCACGUCUUUCCUUUUUUUGUGUAUGUGUGUCUUUUUUAUGCCCCUAUUUAUGAGUUCGCUCCCAGUACACCGGCGCCUCUUUAUAUAGAGCAAAGUCUCAAGGUGCAGGUCAAAGGUCAAGAUGCGGCAAACUAGUCAUACACAAUGCACACAUAGUUUAUUGGUCAUUAUUAUUAUUAUUAUUAUUAUUAUUCCAUUAACUACGCUGUUACAUUGGAUCAGUUGAGCUGUCUGUCGUCUAUGACGACGACGCCAUCAGCGGCAAGAAAUGAAAACAUUGACUCCAUUCGAGAGGCGAGUGCGUCAGGAUGUAAUCUGGUUUUCUGCUCGUCAGCAGUUCUCCUGGAUUACUGUGUUGUCAUCAACGUGAUUACUCGCAUCAGAUUACAAUCCACAUACCCACGAGCACACAAACAAAUUGAUGCAAGCAUACAAACACACCCACACAUGGAAAGAGGUGUAUGGAAAAGACAAAAACACUCCUUUAUUCACCCAAGCAUGAUUGUGAUGUCAUGAAAGCUAUGAGGUGGACUGUUUGCAAAUCAUCAUCUCAGUUAAAAUGUCGUGUGUGUGUGUGUGUGUGUGUGUGUGUGUGUGUGUGUCUAUUCAGACGUAAGCUCUGGCUGUCGCCGCCUCCGACGUAGGUGUGGCCUUGUAGACCUUGGAUGCAGGACCGUUGCCAUAGUAACCACUGAAACACAGAAAACGACAUUUUUGUAUCCCAACACACUGUAGUUUGAAACCUGACUUUGAAACCCUGACACUAAUUUAAAAAAAUUGUUUGAAACCC